Molecule: long non-coding RNA, 518 nt
Organism: Rosa chinensis
Lineage: Eukaryota; Viridiplantae; Streptophyta; Magnoliopsida; Rosales; Rosaceae
Exons: 2
Source: RefSeq, a predicted model, not a curated record
CGAGCCCCAAUUGAAUGACGCUUUUGCCCUUCUCUUCUUUGUCUAAUUACGGGUUGCCAUGCUUCUAUACGUUUCCAGACGUCUCUAUAUGAGGCAACCGACCUCAUACUUUUCCAGAAGUCUCUAUCUUGAGGCAAUAUAGAGAACCACAGUCGUUUCCAGAAGUCGAUCCUUAUUAAACCAAGCGUUGCAACCGACCUCAUACUUUUCCGGAAAUCUCUAUCAAAAUCGAAAUCCCAUCUCAUAAUCCACCGACAUCAGCGAUAAAAAUAAAAAAUAGUGAUUCAUCCUUUUCAGGCAGCCUCUAUCCAAAUCGAGCUUCAUAUUCAACCGACCUCGGCAGGGGAAUUGAAAUCACAGUAAGAAUUGGAGAUGGCAGCUGAGAAUGCCAGGAGAGGGAUAAAGAGGUUCUUGGAACAAUCCACAAGUGACCGAGUUGAUCAAGGAGAAUCUAAAUGUAGUUGUGUCAAAUCAAAGAGAUUGAAAACAAGUGAGUAUAGCUUUGAUGCUUUCUUAAA